UUAAAUUGAAGAGUUUGAUCAUGGCUCAGAUUGAACGCUGGCGGCAGGCCUAACACAUGCAAGUCGAACGGUAACAGGAAACAGCUUGCUGUUUCGCUGACGAGUGGCGGACGGGUGAGUAAUGUCUGGGAAACUGCCUGAUGGAGGGGGAUAACUACUGGAAACGGUAGCUAAUACCGCAUAACGUCGCAAGACCAAAGAGGGGGACCUUCGGGCCUCUUGCCAUCGGAUGUGCCCAGAUGGGAUUAGCUAGUAGGUGGGGUAACGGCUCACCUAGGCGACGAUCCCUAGCUGGUCUGAGAGGAUGACCAGCCACACUGGAACUGAGACACGGUCCAGACUCCUACGGGAGGCAGCAGUGGGGAAUAUUGCACAAUGGGCGCAAGCCUGAUGCAGCCAUGCCGCGUGUAUGAAGAAGGCCUUCGGGUUGUAAAGUACUUUCAGCGGGGAGGAAGGGAGUAAAGUUAAUACCUUUACUCAUUGACGUUACCCGCAGAAGAAGCACCGGCUAACUCCGUGCCAGCAGCCGCGGUAAUACGGAGGGUGCAAGCGUUAAUCGGAAUUACUGGGCGUAAAGCGCACGCAGGCGGUUUGUUAAGUCAGAUGUGAAAUCCCCGGGCUCAACCUGGGAACUGCAUCUGAUACUGGCAAGCUUGAGUCUCGUAGAGGGGGGUAGAAUUCCAGGUGUAGCGGUGAAAUGCGUAGAGAUCUGGAGGAAUACCGGUGGCGAAGGCGGCCCCCUGGACGAAGACUGACGCUCAGGUGCGAAAGCGUGGGGAGCAAACAGGAUUAGAUACCCUGGUAGUCCACGCCGUAAACGAUGUCGACUUGGAGGUUGUGCCCUUGAGGCGUGGCUUCCGGAGCUAACGCGUUAAGUCGACCGCCUGGGGAGUACGGCCGCAAGGUUAAAACUCAAAUGAAUUGACGGGGGCCCGCACAAGCGGUGGAGCAUGUGGUUUAAUUCGAUGCAACGCGAAGAACCUUACCUGGUCUUGACAUCCACGGAAGUUUUCAGAGAUGAGAAUGUGCCUUCGGGAACCGUGAGACAGGUGCUGCAUGGCUGUCGUCAGCUCGUGUUGUGAAAUGUUGGGUUAAGUCCCGCAACGAGCGCAACCCUUAUCCUUUGUUGCCAGCGGUCCGGCCGGGAACUCAAAGGAGACUGCCAGUGAUAAACUGGAGGAAGGUGGGGAUGACGUCAAGUCAUCAUGGCCCUUACGACCAGGGCUACACACGUGCUACAAUGGCGCAUACAAAGAGAAGCGAACUCGCGAGAGCAAGCGGACCUCAUAAAGUGCGUCGUAGUCCGGAUUGGAGUCUGCAACUCGACUCCAUGAAGUCGGAAUCGCUAGUAAUCGUGGAUCAGAAUGCCACGGUGAAUACGUUCCCGGGCCUUGUACACACCGCCCGUCACACCAUGGGAGUGGGUUGCAAAAGAAGUAGGUAGCUUAACCUUCGGGAGGGCGCUUACCACUUUGUGAUUCAUGACUGGGGUGAAGUCGUAACAAGGUAACCGUAGGGGAACCUGCGGUUGGAUCACCUCCUUACCUUAAAGAA
This 1554-nucleotide ribosomal RNA is filed under the name Escherichia coli. RNAcentral describes it as "bacterial SSU rRNA". It matches the Rfam family "Bacterial small subunit ribosomal RNA". The record is from RNAcentral. Lineage: Bacteria; Pseudomonadati; Pseudomonadota; Gammaproteobacteria; Enterobacterales; Enterobacteriaceae.